UGAGGGAAAGGCGAAAAGAACCCCGGCGAGGGGAGUGAAAAAGAACCUGAAACCGUGUACGUACAAGCAGUGGGAGCACAGGUUUACCUGUGUGACUGCGUACCUUUUGUAUAAUGGGUCAGCGACUUAUAUUCUGUAGCAAGGUUAACCGAAUAGGGGAGCCGUAGGGAAACCGAGUCUUAACCGGGCGUUAAGUUGCAGGGUAUAGACCCGAAACCCGGUGAUCUAG
Molecule: ribosomal RNA, 229 nt
Filed under: Salmonella enterica subsp. enterica serovar Havana
Lineage: Bacteria; Pseudomonadati; Pseudomonadota; Gammaproteobacteria; Enterobacterales; Enterobacteriaceae
Description: partial 23S ribosomal RNA
Rfam family: Bacterial large subunit ribosomal RNA
Source: RNAcentral